This 67-nucleotide transfer RNA is filed under the name Echinicola arenosa. RNAcentral describes it as "Echinicola sp. CAU 1574 tRNA-Leu". It matches the Rfam family "tRNA", at positions 9 to 71 of the family's 71-position model. From Rfam's summary of the family: Transfer RNA (tRNA) molecules are approximately 80 nucleotides in length. Their secondary structure includes four short double-helical elements and three loops (D, anti-codon, and T loops). Further hydrogen bonds mediate the characteristic L-shaped molecular structure. tRNAs have two regions of fundamental functional importance: the anti-codon, which is responsible for specific mRNA codon recognition, and the 3' end, to which the tRNAs corresponding amino acid is attached (by aminoacyl-tRNA synthetases). tRNAs cope with the degeneracy of the genetic code in two manners: having more than one tRNA (with a specific anti-codon) for a particular amino acid; and 'wobble' base-pairing, i.e. permitting non-standard base-pairing at the 3rd anti-codon position. Lineage: Bacteria; Pseudomonadati; Bacteroidota; Cytophagia; Cytophagales; Cyclobacteriaceae. The record is from RNAcentral.
GGCUCUAUUGGCUAGAGCGUCCCGACAACUGUCGGGAAGGUCAUCGGUUCGAAUCCGAUAUUCUCCA